Molecule: ribosomal RNA, 254 nt
Filed under: uncultured bacterium
Lineage: Bacteria
Description: partial 16S ribosomal RNA
Rfam family: Bacterial small subunit ribosomal RNA
Source: RNAcentral
UACGGAGGGUGCGAGCGUUGUCCGGAAUCAUUGGGCGUAAAGGGCUCGUAGGCGGCCAACUAAGUCAGACGUGAAAUCCCUCGGCUUAACCGGGGAACUGCGUCUGAUACUGGAUGGCUUGAGGUUGGGAGAGGGAUGCGGAAUUCCAGGUGUAGCGGUGAAAUGCGUAGAUAUCUGGAGGAACACCGGUGGCGAAGGCGGCAUCCUGGACCAAUUCUGACGCUGAGUGAGCGAAAGCCAGGGGAGCAAACGGG